Saccostrea cuccullata (small rock oyster) is the source of this 409-nucleotide long non-coding RNA. RefSeq lists it as uncharacterized. The transcript is spliced from 3 exons. The record is from RefSeq and is a predicted model, not a curated record. Lineage: Eukaryota; Metazoa; Mollusca; Bivalvia; Ostreida; Ostreidae.
UAAACAUUAGGCCUACAGUGUUGUGACUUGUGAUAUUAUUCGUUGAACUUGGUUUCCAUGGACAAACAGUGAAAGACUUCGUUACCAGACUUCGUGUGUUAUGGUACACGUGGAUCAUGAUUUGCGGCUGAAAUGCUUCUUGUGCCCUGGUAUCAAGUCUUUCGAAGUUGUCUACGACGUGUUCAGGAAGAGGAACUGCAAAGACAUCACUUGGCGAAGAUAGCGUCCAGGAAUCUUUAUUGCUGUUUGGUACUGGACCCAGGAUCAUGAAACAAACUUGGACGUAAGGCAAAUUUUCAAUGAACUAUAAAAUAUUUAUGAAAUAUUGAAUUUAUUUCUAAAUAUCUAGAUUACAACACAUCUGGCAAUAUUGAAAACUAUUUUAAUGUUAAUCCAACCGUUAGUUUCG